UACGUAGGGUGCAAGCGUUGUCCGGAAUUAUUGGGCGUAAAGAGCUCGUAGGCGGUCUGUCGCGUCUGCUGUGAAAACCUAGGGCUUAACUCUGGGCGUGCAGCGGGUACGGGCAGGCUAGAGUGCGGUAGGGGAGACUGGAAUUCCUGGUGUAGCGGUGAAAUGCGCAGAUAUCGAGGAGGAACACCGGUGGCGAAGGCGGGUCCCUGGGCCGUAACGUGACGCUGAGGAGCGAAAGCAUGGGGAGCGAACGAGG
This 256-nucleotide ribosomal RNA is filed under the name uncultured bacterium. RNAcentral's name for it is "partial 16S ribosomal RNA". It matches the Rfam family "Bacterial small subunit ribosomal RNA", at positions 524 to 777 of the family's 1533-position model. The record is from RNAcentral.